CACGUAGUUAGCCGGGGCUUCUUAGUCAGGUACCGUCAUCUUCUUCCCUGCUGAUAGAGCUUUACAUACCGAAAUACUUCUUCACUCACGCGGCGUCGCCGCAUCAGGGUUUCCCCCAUUGUGCAAUAUUCCCCACUGCUGCCUCCCGUAGGAGUUUGGGCCGUGUCUCAGUCCCAAUGUGGCCGGUCACUCUCUCAAGCCGGCUACUGAUCGCUGCCUUGGUAGGCCGUUACCCUGCCAACUAGCUAAUCAGACGCGGGCCCAUCCUGUACCACCGGAGUUUUUCACACCGUGCCAUGCGGCACUGUGCGCUUAUGCGGUAUUAGCACCCAUUUCUGGGUGUUAUCCCCCGGUACAGGGCAGGUUGCCCACGCGUUACUCACCCGUCCGCCACUCAGUCAUACCCCUCUUCCGCCCGGAGGCUUCCGUGGUGUAUGCUUCGUUCGACUUGCAUGUGUUAGGCACGCCGCCAGCGUUCAUCCUGAGCCAGGAUCAAACUCUC
RNAcentral lists this ribosomal RNA (502 nucleotides) under uncultured Lachnospiraceae bacterium. RNAcentral's name for it is "partial 16S ribosomal RNA". The record is from RNAcentral. Lineage: Bacteria; Bacillati; Bacillota; Clostridia; Lachnospirales; Lachnospiraceae.